CAGUCGCCGCGGGAAUACGGAGGAUCCAAGCGUUAUCCGGAAUCAUUGGGUUUAAAGGGUCCGUAGGCGGUCUUGUAAGUCAGUGGUGAAAGCCCAUCGCUCAACGGUGGAACGGCCAUUGAUACUGCAGGACUUGAAUUAUUGGGAAGUAACUAGAAUAUGUAGUGUAGCGGUGAAAUGCUUAGAGAUUACAUGGAAUACCAAUUGCGAAGGCAGGUUACUACCAAUUGAUUGACGCUGAUGGACGAAAGCGUGGGUAGCGAACAGGAUUAGAUACCCGAGUAGUCCCUGUCUCUUAUAA
RNAcentral lists this ribosomal RNA (301 nucleotides) under uncultured bacterium. RNAcentral describes it as "partial 16S ribosomal RNA". It matches the Rfam family "Bacterial small subunit ribosomal RNA", at positions 509 to 809 of the family's 1533-position model. The record is from RNAcentral.